GUGAAUCCGGUAAUCGAUGGCCAUACUGCGUGUUGUACAUUGUAACACACGACGGCAAGGAGGAUCGGGAGGCCGGGACAGAGAUGGAUCUCUGGAAAACGACGGCCAGAGAAUCCGAACACGUGUCAAAUUGAGCGCCGGGGGAAGGGCUAACACGUGCAAGUCGAGCGGAUGACGGGAGCUUGCUCCUUGAUUCAGCGGCGGACGGGUGAGUAAUGCCUAGGAAUCUGCCUGGUAGUGGGGGACAACGUUUCGAAAGGAACGCUAAUACCGCAUACGUCCUACGGGAGAAAGCAGGGGACCUUCGGGCCUUGCGCUAUCAGAUGAGCCUAGGUCGGAUUAGCUUGUUGGUGAGGUAAUGGCUCACCAAGGCGACGAUCCGUAACUGGUCUGAGAGGAUGAUCAGUCACACUGGAACUGAGACACGGUCCAGACUCCUACGGGAGGCAGC
RNAcentral lists this ribosomal RNA (451 nucleotides) under uncultured bacterium. Its description in RNAcentral is "bacterial SSU rRNA". The stretch from base 103 to 451 matches the Rfam family "Bacterial small subunit ribosomal RNA", at positions 1 to 352 of the family's 1533-position model. The record is from RNAcentral.